Molecule: ribosomal RNA, 395 nt
Filed under: Paguristes moorei
Lineage: Eukaryota; Metazoa; Arthropoda; Malacostraca; Decapoda; Diogenidae
Description: partial small subunit ribosomal RNA
Source: RNAcentral
CCAGGGAUUAGAUACCCCAGUAUACUUAUUCUUAAAUUGUAAGGCUAGAUUACUAGUAGAUAGGUUCUUGAAAUUCAAAGAAUUUGGCGGUAUCUUAAUCUUAUUAGAGGAACCUGUUUUAUAAACGAUAAACCACGAAGAAUCUUAUUUGUCUUAAAUAGUUUGUAUACCGUCAUUAUUAGAUAAUUUUGGAAAAAUUAAUUAUUAGGAUUAAUAAGUUUUAAAUAUAUUAGAUCAAGGUGCAGCUUAUAGACAAGAGAAAAAUGGGUUACAUUAAAUUAAUUUAAACGGAAGCUAGCUUUUAAUAGGCUGCCAAAGGCGGAUUUAAUUGUAUGCUUAAUUUAAUAUGUUAAGUAGAAAUUGGCUCUAAGAUAUGUACAUAUCGCCCGUCGCUA